CUACACCUACGGGGGGCAGCAGUGGGGAAUAUUGCACAAUGGGGGGAACCCUGAUGCAGCGACGCCGCGUGGGUGAAGGAGUACUUCGGUACGUAAAGCCCUAUCAGCAGGAAAGAAAAUGACGGUACCUGACUAGGAAGCCCCGGCUAACUACGUGCCAGCAGCCGCGGUAAUACGUAGGGGGCAAGCGUUAUCCGGAUUUAUUGGGUGUAAAGGGAGCGUAGACGGCAGUGCAAGUCCGGAGUGAAAGCCCGGGGCUCAACCCUGUGACGGCUCUGGAAACUGUAAGGCUGGAGUGCGGGAGG
RNAcentral lists this ribosomal RNA (305 nucleotides) under uncultured bacterium. RNAcentral describes it as "bacterial SSU rRNA". It matches the Rfam family "Bacterial small subunit ribosomal RNA", at positions 333 to 655 of the family's 1533-position model. The record is from RNAcentral.